GGACUGUAGCUCAGUGGUAGAGCACUUGCCUAGCAUGUGUGAGGCGCUGGGCUCAAUCCUCAGCACCA
Molecule: transfer RNA, 68 nt
Filed under: Marmota monax (woodchuck)
Lineage: Eukaryota; Metazoa; Chordata; Mammalia; Rodentia; Sciuridae
Description: tRNA.Ala
Source: RNAcentral